AGAGUUUGAUCAUGGCUCAGAUUGAACGCUGGCGGUAUGCUUAACACAUGCAAGUCGAACGGUAACAUCGGAGCUUGCUCCGGAUGACGAGUGGCGGACGGGUGAGUAAUGCAUAGGAAUCUGCCUGGUAGUGGGGGACAACAUGUGGAAACGCAUGCUAAUACCGCAUAAGCCCUACGGGGGAAAGGGGGGGAUCUUCGGACCUCCCGCUAUCAGAUGAGCCUAUGUCAGAUUAGCUUGUUGGUGAGGUAACGGCUCACCAAGGCGACGAUCUGUAGCUGGUCUGAGAGGAUGAUCAGCCACACUGGGACUGAGACACGGCCCAGACUCCUACGGGAGGCAGCAGUGGGGAAUAUUGGACAAUGGGCGAAAGCCUGAUCCAGCAAUACCGCGUGUGUGAAGAAGGCCCGAGGGUUGUAAAGCACUUUCAAUUGGGAGGAACACCUGUCCAGAUAAUAUCGGGCAGACNGAC
RNAcentral lists this ribosomal RNA (472 nucleotides) under uncultured Gammaproteobacteria bacterium. RNAcentral's name for it is "bacterial SSU rRNA". It matches the Rfam family "Bacterial small subunit ribosomal RNA", at positions 8 to 477 of the family's 1533-position model. The record is from RNAcentral. Lineage: Bacteria; Pseudomonadati; Pseudomonadota; Gammaproteobacteria.